GAGGAAUAUUGGUCAAUGGGCGGAAGCCUGAACCAGCCAUGCCGCGUGCGGGAAGGAGGCCCUAUGGGCUGUGAACCGCUUUUGCCUGGGGGCAAUAAGGGCGUCGCGCACGUCCGAUGAGAGUACCAGGCGAAUAAGCAUCGGCUAACUCCGUGCCAGCAGCCGCGGUAAUACGGGGGAUGCGAGCGUUAUCCGGAUUCAUUGGGUUUAAAGGGUGCGUAGGCUGUGCGUCAAGUCGGGGGUGAAAUUCCGGUGCUCAACACCGGGGCUGCCCUUGAUACUGUCGCGCUGGAGUGCGGAUGCCGCCGGAGGAAUGAGUGGUGUAGCGGUGAAAUGCUUAGAUAUCACUCAGAACACCGAUUGCGAAGGCAUCUGGCGAAUCCGUAACUGACGCUGAGGCACGAAAGCGUGGGGAUAGAAC
Molecule: ribosomal RNA, 421 nt
Filed under: uncultured bacterium
Lineage: Bacteria
Description: bacterial SSU rRNA
Rfam family: Bacterial small subunit ribosomal RNA
Source: RNAcentral